RNAcentral lists this ribosomal RNA (406 nucleotides) under uncultured bacterium. Its description in RNAcentral is "partial 16S ribosomal RNA". It matches the Rfam family "Bacterial small subunit ribosomal RNA", at positions 30 to 526 of the family's 1533-position model. The record is from RNAcentral.
AUUGAACGCUGGCGGCAGGCCUAACAAAUGCAAGUCGAACGAGUGGCGGACGGGUGAGUAAUGUCUGGGAAACUGCCUGAUGGAGGGGGAUAACUACUGGAAACGGUAGCUAAUACCGCAUACCAUCAGAUGUGCCCAUAUGGGAGUAGCAUGUUGGUGGGGUAACGGCUCACCAAGGCGACGAUCCCUAGCUGGUCUGAGAGGAUGACCAGCCACACUGGAACUGAGCCACGGUCCAGACUCCUACGGUGGGUAGCAGGGGGGAAUAUUGCACCAUGGGCGAAAUCCUUAUGCAGCCAUGCCGCGUGUAUGAAGAAGGCCUUCGGGUUUUAAAGUACUUUCAGCGGGGAGGCGUUACCCGCAGAAGAAGCACCGGCUAACUCCGUGCCAGCAGCCGCGGUAAUUC